AGGACGAACGCUGGCGGCGUGCUUAACACAUGCAAGUCGAGCGGAAAGGCCCUUCGGGGUACUCGAGCGGCGAACGGGUGAGUAACACGUGGGCAACCUGCCCUUAGCUCUGGGAUAGCUCCGGGAAACCGGAAUUAAUACCGGAUAUGACCUAGGCCGACAUCGGCCGUGGUAGAAAGUUUUUCGGCUAGGGAUGGACUCGCGGCCUAUCAGCUAGUUGGUGGGGUAAUGGCCUACCAAGGCGACGACGGGUA
RNAcentral lists this ribosomal RNA (254 nucleotides) under uncultured bacterium. RNAcentral describes it as "partial small subunit ribosomal RNA". It matches the Rfam family "Bacterial small subunit ribosomal RNA", at positions 26 to 285 of the family's 1533-position model. The record is from RNAcentral.